Molecule: unclassified non-coding RNA, 321 nt
Organism: Mustela putorius furo (domestic ferret)
Lineage: Eukaryota; Metazoa; Chordata; Mammalia; Carnivora; Mustelidae
Gene: 7SK
Rfam family: 7SK RNA
About the family: 7SK was discovered as an abundant small nuclear RNA in the mid-70s but a possible function has only recently been suggested. Two independent studies have found that 7SK RNA binds the CDK9/cyclin T complex (known as elongation factor P-TEFb).
Source: Ensembl
GGAUCUGAGAGAAUCUGUGACAUCUGUCAGCCCAUUGAUCAUCAGGGUUAAUUUGGCUGAUUUGGCUGGCUGAGGGGGGUGUCCUCUUCCUCCCUCACAGCUCCAUGUUCAUCCCUUCCAAAGCUGCAUGCUGUGUUAAGAGGAGGACCUUCCCCAAUAAAGAAGGAUCAUUCUUCAGUCAAGGGCAUAGGAGCAGCUGCGCUUGCCUGCUAGAACCUCCAAACAAGCUCUCAAGGUCCAUAUGUAGGAGAAGUUAGGGUAGUCAAGCUUCCCACACUUCAAACACAUCCAAAUAAGGCCUGCAUGUGGCAGUCUGCCUUU